Molecule: long non-coding RNA, 288 nt
Organism: Ictalurus furcatus (blue catfish)
Lineage: Eukaryota; Metazoa; Chordata; Actinopteri; Siluriformes; Ictaluridae
Exons: 3
Source: RefSeq, a predicted model, not a curated record
GUGCUGGAUUGGGCGUGUCAGGAGCAACACCUAAUCGAGUCAUAAAAAUCAUGAUAGUGGACUAUAUAUUAUUGGAGUGUCAACGCUCCGAGGCCGCUCUCCUGCUCGGAAGAGGAAGCAGAGGACGAGAUUACGCCAGCCGGGAUCGCAUCAAACACAAAGUGUACAAGAACACCUGAAGUCAUGUACUGAAAUAAUACUCUCACACUCACACACACAUACACAAGCUAACACGGAGAACGGAUGAAAAGAAGAGAGUUACGGGUGGUGAAUUCCAUCCCGUCCGCC